AUUCCAGCUCCAAUAGCGUAUAUUAAAGUUGUUGCAGUUAAUUAGCUCGUUGUUGGUUUUCUUUCUUUCUUCCCCCUCCCUCCUCUUCUUUUUCCUGCGCGUCUCCCCCUCCUUCUGUUAACCCUUAAGGUUUUAACGACCUUCUGGGGGCUCAGAUAUUUCACCUUGAGAAAAUUAGAGUGUUUCAGGCAGGCUAGCGCCGGGAUACAUUAGCAUGGAAUAAUGGAGUAGGACUUUUUCCUCUUCUGUUGGUCUGAGGGGUUCGAGUAAUGAUUAAUAGGGGUAGUUGGGGGCAUUAGUACUUUGCUGUCAGAGGUGAAAUUCUUAGAUUUCCGGAAGACGAACUACUGCGAAAGCAUUUACCAAGGAUGUUUUCAUUG
RNAcentral lists this ribosomal RNA (380 nucleotides) under Pelagostrobilidium sp. RNAcentral describes it as "partial small subunit ribosomal RNA". It matches the Rfam family "Eukaryotic small subunit ribosomal RNA", at positions 582 to 975 of the family's 1831-position model. The record is from RNAcentral. Lineage: Eukaryota; Ciliophora; Spirotrichea; Choreotrichida; Strobilidiidae.